RNAcentral lists this ribosomal RNA (390 nucleotides) under Enterococcus casseliflavus. RNAcentral describes it as "bacterial SSU rRNA". It matches the Rfam family "Bacterial small subunit ribosomal RNA", at positions 96 to 473 of the family's 1533-position model. Lineage: Bacteria; Bacillati; Bacillota; Bacilli; Lactobacillales; Enterococcaceae. The record is from RNAcentral.
UGGCGAACGGGUGAGUAACACGUGGGUAACCUGCCCAUCAGAAGGGGAUAACACUUGGAAACAGGUGCUAAUACCGUAUAACACUAUUUUCCGCAUGGAAGAAAGUUGAAAGGCGCUUUUGCGUCACUGAUGGAUGGACCCGCGGUGCAUUAGCUAGUUGGUGAGGUAACGGCUCACCAAGGCAACGAUGCAUAGCCGACCUGAGAGGGUGAUCGGCCACACUGGGACUGAGACACGGCCCAGACUCCUACGGGAGGCAGCAGUAGGGAAUCUUCGGCAAUGGACGAAAGUCUGACCGAGCAACGCCGCGUGAGUGAAGAAGGUUUUCGGAUCGUAAAACUCUGUUGUUAGAGGAGAACAAGGAUGAGAGUAAAACGUUCAUCCCUUGAC